This 1369-nucleotide long non-coding RNA is filed under the name Homo sapiens (human). RNAcentral's name for it is "HSALNT0191962". Lineage: Eukaryota; Metazoa; Chordata; Mammalia; Primates; Hominidae. The record is from RNAcentral.
UGCUGAUUUACUGGUCAAUGAAAUAAAGAACUAAUAUUUGUUAAUUUUUAAAAAGCAUUUCUGUUUAUUCCAUAUUUAUCAGGAAUCAUUAAUUUGAGCUCAUUCAGGUUUAACACCAGAAAAUGGAAAACAGAACCUUUAGACACCUGCUGGCAAUUAAGGAAAUGUAAAAUGCUUCAAUUUUAUUUUAGCCAGAGGAAAAAAGUAUAAUAAGGUUCUAUGCACAACAGUAUUGGAUUUAUGCAGUAAAUGUGUUUCUGAAUUGUAAGUUAACAAACUGCUUUCAAUACAAGAAUGCAGCGCUGUGGUUAAGAGCAUAGCCUUGAACAAGUUACUCAAUCCCUAUGAGCCUCAGAUUCCUCAUCUUUAGAAUGGAGAUGAUGUUAGUACCUAGAGGACCAAAUGAAAUAAACAUUAGGUGUUUAUUUUUAACAUAGUUACCUAUUUUGUUUCCUGGGUGACUUGCUUACCUGAUUUCUGAGAUGAUAGCUAAACACACACACACACACACACACACACACACACACACACACACAUUGCAUUUUUAGAGAUACAUGUAACAGAGUGUUACCGAGUACUGGACCCAUUGAUAGGAAUUGUAAUGCUGAGGCACCCAACUUAAAGCACAUUUUUAGAUAGAUGGGCACUUAGGUAGGUUCUGUCUAGAAAUCCACUGGCUUCUGGUUUGCUUAGUGUUAGAGCCUACUAGAAACUUGCGGAUAAAAUGGUAAAUUAGUUUGAAGCUUUUAAGAGAUAUUUUAUUCUUUCCAUCAUAACUGAAUUAAACAUACAAGUUUCUGUGGGUGACUGUAGAAAUUGUCUCCACAGAAAAGGUAAAAUUCCCUUUUGUAAAACUAGGCUCUCUUCUCAUUAUCAUUCUUCAUUUUCAGUGAAACUGCUUUUAAAAAUGAUGGAUGUUAAUGAUCACUUUACUUAGAAGGUGUCAUCAUUUAUAUAAAAAAUAGAGCAAGUUGGAUGAACAGUUAGAAUUAUAACUUGGAGGCUUAGGCAAUAUGGGGAAAAUAAAAGCCAUCUUUCUCCAAAUAACUGAGAAUUUAUUAUUUACUAAGAACUUGAUGGAAACAAAGCAUUACCUUAAAAAUCAUAAUGCUCAAAUAUCUCUCACUCAAACUUACCAGACUCAAUUUAUAGGCAAUAAAAUGAAUGGAACUUACUUUUGACCAGAAAAAUGUGUCUUACUCAUCACAUUUGGAAUCUGAAUUAGGUAUAUUCCAGUUUAGUAAUAGCUCAAUUUAUUGGAAAUUUUUAAUAACUAGUUAAAUGUUCAUGUGCAUUUGAAAUAUGAAUCUCUUUUUUUUUUUUUUUUUUUUUGAGACGGAGUCUCGCUCUGUCGCCCAGGCUGGAGUGC